RNAcentral lists this long non-coding RNA (361 nucleotides) under Brassica rapa (field mustard). Its description in RNAcentral is "long non-coding RNA (BRAP_LNC006550)". The record is from RNAcentral. Lineage: Eukaryota; Viridiplantae; Streptophyta; Magnoliopsida; Brassicales; Brassicaceae.
UAUAUUUAAAAAUAGUUUUUAUAAAUACAAAAAAAAAAAAGUGUUUAUAAAUCAAAAAAAUGUUUUAUAAAUACAAAAUUAGUUUUAAUAAAUAUAAAUAUUUUUAUAAAUAUGAAAUCAUCUUUUAUAAAUCUAAAAAUCGAAUUUAUAUACAAAAAACGUUUUGUAAAAUCGAAUUUAUAUAGAAAAAAACGUUUUGUAAAUACAAAAAUAAUAAACAAUUUAUAAAAAAAUUCUAAAUCAAUUCAACACAACCAAAUCACAAUUCUAAACCUAUUACACAACAAAUCACAAUCCUACCCAAUCACCCUAACAAAAAUCUAUCAAAAAACUUCUAAAAUCAUCAAAUCUACUUAAAAAC